GACGAACGCUGGCGGCGUGCUUAACACAUGCAAGUCGUACGGUAAGGCCCUUUCGGGGGUACACGAGUGGCGAACGGGUGAGUAACACGUGAGUAACCUGCCCACAACUUUGGGAUAACGCUAGGAAACUGGUGCUAAUACUGGAUAUGUGCUCCUGCUGCAUGGUGGGGGUUGGAAAGCUCCGGCGGUUGUGGAUGGACUCGCGGCCUAACAGCUUGUUGGUGGGGUAGUGGCCUACCAAGGCGGCGACGGGUAGCCGGCCGGAGAGGGUGACCGGCCACAUUGGGACUGGGAAACGGCCCAGACUCCUGCGGGCGGCAGCAGUGGGGAGUAUUGCACAAUGGGCGCAAGCCUGAUGCAGCAACGCCGCGUGCGGGAUGACGGCCUUCGGGUUGUAAACCGCUUUCAGCAGGGACGAAGCUUUUUGUGACGGUACCUGCAGAAGAAGCACCGGCUAACUACGUG
RNAcentral lists this ribosomal RNA (465 nucleotides) under uncultured bacterium. RNAcentral describes it as "partial 16S ribosomal RNA". It matches the Rfam family "Bacterial small subunit ribosomal RNA", at positions 28 to 507 of the family's 1533-position model. The record is from RNAcentral.